GAUGAACGCUAGCGGCAGGCCUAAUACAUGCAAGUCGGACGGGAUCCGUCGGAGAGCUUGCUCGAAGACGGUGAGAGUGGCGCACGGGUGCGUAACGCGUGAGCAACCUACCUCUAUCAGGGGGAUAGCCUCUCGAAAGAGAGAUUAACACCGCAUAAUAUAUGUGACCGGGAUCGGUUGGAUAUUAAAUAUUUAUAGGAUAGAGAUGGGCUCUCGUGACAUUAGCUAGUUGGUAGGGUAACGGCUUACCAAGGCGACGAUGUCUAGGGGCUCUGAGAGGAGAAUCCCCCACACUGGUACUGAGACACGGACCAGACUCCUACGGGAGGCAGCAGUAAGGAAUAUUGGUCAAUGGGCGGAAGCCUGAACCAGCCAUGCCGCGUGCAGGAUGACUGCCCUAUGGGUUGUAAACUGCUUUUGUCCAGGAAUAAACCUUUCUACGUGUAGGGAGCUGAAUGUACUGGAAGAAUAAGGAUCGGCUAACUCCGUGCCAGCCGCCGCGGUAA
This 506-nucleotide ribosomal RNA is filed under the name uncultured bacterium. RNAcentral's name for it is "partial 16S ribosomal RNA". It matches the Rfam family "Bacterial small subunit ribosomal RNA", at positions 28 to 523 of the family's 1533-position model. The record is from RNAcentral.